RNAcentral lists this ribosomal RNA (253 nucleotides) under uncultured bacterium. RNAcentral's name for it is "partial 16S ribosomal RNA". It matches the Rfam family "Bacterial small subunit ribosomal RNA", at positions 524 to 776 of the family's 1533-position model. The record is from RNAcentral.
UACGUAGGGUGCGAGCGUUGUCCGGAAUUACUGGGCGUAAAGAGCUCGUAGGUGGUUUGUCGCGUCUGCUGUGAAAUCCGGAGGCUCAACCUCCGGCCUGCAGUGGGUACGGGCAGACUAGAGUGCGGUAGGGGAGAUUGGAAUUCCUGGUGUAGCGGUGGAAUGCGCAGAUAUCAGGAGGAACACCGAUGGCGAAGGCAGAUCUCUGGGCCGUAACUGACGCUGAGGAGCGAAAGCAUGGGGAGCGAACAGG